This 491-nucleotide ribosomal RNA is filed under the name uncultured bacterium. RNAcentral describes it as "partial 16S ribosomal RNA". It matches the Rfam family "Bacterial small subunit ribosomal RNA", at positions 29 to 507 of the family's 1533-position model. The record is from RNAcentral.
AGUGAGCGCUGGCGGUAGGCCUAACACAUGCAAGUCGAACGGCAGCACAGUAAGAGCUUGCUCUUACGGGUGGCGAGUGGCGGACGGGUGAGGAAUACAUCGGAAUCUACUUUUUCGUGGGGGAUAACGUAGGAAACUUACCCCAAUACCCCAUACGACCUUCGGGUGAAAGCCGGGGAUCUUCGGACCUUUCCCGGUUGAAUGAGCCGAUGUCGGAUUAGCUAGUUGGCGGGGUAAAGGCCCACCAAGGCGACGAUCCGUAGCUGGUCUGAGAGGAUGAUCAGCCACACUGGAACUGAGACACGGUCCAGACUCCUACGGGAGGCAGCAGUGGGGAAUAUUGGACAAUGGGCGCAAGCCUGAUCCAGCCAUACCGCGUGGGUGAAGAAGGCCUUCGGGUUGUAAAGCCCUUUUGUUGGGAAAGAAAAGCAGCAGGUUAAUACCCCGCUGUUCUGACGGUACCCAAAGAAUAAGCACCGGCUAACUUCGUG